Molecule: ribosomal RNA, 253 nt
Filed under: uncultured bacterium
Lineage: Bacteria
Description: partial 16S ribosomal RNA
Rfam family: Bacterial small subunit ribosomal RNA
Source: RNAcentral
UACAGAGGGUGCGAGCGUUAAUCGGAAUUACUGGGCGUAAAGCGUGCGUAGACGGUUAUGUAAGUCAGGUGUGAAAUCCCCGGGCUCAACCCGGGAACUGCGUCCGAUACUGGCGGGCUUGAAUCCGGGAGAGGGAUGCGGAAUUCCAGGUGUAGCGGUGAAAUGCGUAGAUAUCUGGAGGAACACCGGUGGCGAAGGCGGCAUCCUGGACCGGCAUUGACGCUGAGGCGCGAAAGCCAGGGGAGCAAACGGG